This 381-nucleotide ribosomal RNA is filed under the name Clostridioides difficile. RNAcentral's name for it is "partial 23S ribosomal RNA". It matches the Rfam family "Bacterial large subunit ribosomal RNA", at positions 1890 to 2269 of the family's 2925-position model. The record is from RNAcentral. Lineage: Bacteria; Bacillati; Bacillota; Clostridia; Peptostreptococcales; Peptostreptococcaceae.
UUAAAGCAACCGAAGCAGUGAACUUAAGCCCCAAUAAACGGCGACCAUAACUAAAACGGACCAAAGGUAGCGAAAAUCCUCGUCGGGUAAGGUCCGACCCACAAGAAAGGCGUAACGAUUUAGGCACUGACUCAACAACAGACUCGGUGAAAUUGUAAUUACGGAGAAGAAGCCGGAUACAUGCGACAGGACGGAAAGAACCCAUGCAGCAUUAAUGUAGCUAAACAAAAGGCCUUGGGACUACAUGUACAGGAUAGGUGGGAGGCUUUGAAACAAGGACGCCAGUUGUGGCGGAGCCAUCAUAGGGAUAUCACCCUUGUAGUACUGGGACGCUAACCAUAGGUAAUGAAUCUGGUAUUGGGACACUGUCAGUUGGGCAGU